This 276-nucleotide long non-coding RNA is filed under the name Brachypodium distachyon (stiff brome). Its description in RNAcentral is "long non-coding RNA (BDIS_LNC003606)". The record is from RNAcentral. Lineage: Eukaryota; Viridiplantae; Streptophyta; Magnoliopsida; Poales; Poaceae.
GUUUUCAUCUGUAGCAUUUCCUUCACUUCCCAUUUUGAAACUUCCAUAUCUGGCCAUUUAUUGCACAGUAUGUCUGGUAUUGUCUGUUGGGCUAUUUCGAUAUACUUGGUCAGGCCUUUUAGCUGUUAAGGUUUGCAGGGUUAGUUUUAGAGGAAGAAUAUCUGAACUUUAAUGAAGUAGCAAAUACUUACGGUCUUAUGGAGGUCAACGCGAUUCAUGGUAACACCAAAGGAGUCUAGGACCUGUAUGACGCGUUUGGGGGCAUUGAUACUUGCC